AGUGAAUAUAGUUUAUUAAAAACUUUAGUCUGUG
This 34-nucleotide transfer RNA is filed under the name Litoria sp. SCD-2016. RNAcentral's name for it is "partial tRNA-His". Lineage: Eukaryota; Metazoa; Chordata; Amphibia; Anura; Pelodryadidae. The record is from RNAcentral.